GGAACGUUAGCUGCUGAUGACGCACGCUAUGCGUGCCAGCAGUCGCGUAAUACGGAGGGUGCAGCGUAUCGAUACCUGGGCCGUAAAGCGCCACGCCAGUCGUUUGUUAGUCAGAUGUGAAAUCCCCGGGGCUCAACCUGGGAACUGCAUCUGAUACUGGCAAGCUUGAGUCUCGUAGAGGGGGGUAGAAUUCCAGGUGUAGCGGUGAAAUGCGUAGAGAUCUGGAGGGAAUACCGGUGGGCGAAGGCGGCCCCCUGGACGAAGACUGACGCUCAGGUGCGAAAGCGUGGGGAGCAAACAGGAUUAGAUACCCUGGUAGUGCACGCCGUAAACGAUGUCGACUUGGAGGUUGUGCCCUUGAGGCGUGGCUUCCGGAGCUAACGCGUUAAGUCGACCGCCUGGGGAGUACGGCCGCAAGGUUAAAACUCAAAUGAAUUGACGGGGGCCCGCACAAGCGGUGGAGCAUGUGGUUUAAUUCGAUGCAACGCGAAGAACCUUACCUGGUCUUGACAUCCACGGAACUUUCCAGAGAUGAGAUGGUGCCUUCGGGAACUGUGAGACAGGUGCUGCAUGGCUGUCGUCAGCUCGUGUUGUGAAAUGUUGGGUUAAGUCCCGCAACGAGCGCAACCCUUAUCCUUUGUUGCCAGCGGUCCGGCCGGGAACUCAAAGGAGACUGCCAGUGAUAAACUGGAGGAAGGUGGGGAUGACGUCAAGUCAUCAUGGCCCUUACGACCAGGGCUACACACGUGCUACAAUGGCGCAUACAAAGAGAAGCGACCUCGCGAGAGCAAGCGGACCUCAUAAAGUGCGUCGUAGUCCGGAUUGGAGUCUGCAACUCGACUCCAUGAAGUCGGAAUCGCUAGUAAUCGUGGAUCAGAAUGCCACGGUGAAUACGUUCCCGGGCCUUGUACACACCGCCCGUCACACCAUGGGAGUGGGUUGCAAAAGAAGUAGUGUAGCUUAACCUUCGGGAGGGCGCUCACCAUCUUUGUUUCC
RNAcentral lists this ribosomal RNA (996 nucleotides) under Escherichia coli. RNAcentral's name for it is "bacterial SSU rRNA". It matches the Rfam family "Bacterial small subunit ribosomal RNA", at positions 469 to 1469 of the family's 1533-position model. Lineage: Bacteria; Pseudomonadati; Pseudomonadota; Gammaproteobacteria; Enterobacterales; Enterobacteriaceae. The record is from RNAcentral.